GAUGAACGCUGGCGGCGUGCUUAACACAUGCAAGUCGAACGAUUAAGACGGCUUCGGCCGUGUAUAGAGUGGCGAACGGGUGAGUAACACGUGACCAACCUGCCCCGCGCUCCGGGACAACCGCUGGAAACGGCGGCUAAUACCGGAUGCUCCGGGGAGGCCCCAUGGCCUCCCCGGAAAAAGCCCUACGGCGCGGGAUGGGGUCGCGGCCCAUUAGGUAGACGGCGGGGUAACGGCCCACCGUGCCCGCGAUGGGUAGCCGGACUGAGAGGUCGACCGGCCACAUUGGGACUGAGAUACGGCCCAGACUCCUACGGGAGGCAGCAGUGGGGAAUUUUGCGCAAUGGGGGGAACCCUGACGCAGCAACGCCGCGUGCGGGACGAAGGCCUUCGGGUUGUAAACCGCUUUCAGCAGGGAAGACAUAGACGGUACCUGCAGAAGAAG
This 445-nucleotide ribosomal RNA is filed under the name uncultured bacterium. RNAcentral's name for it is "bacterial SSU rRNA". It matches the Rfam family "Bacterial small subunit ribosomal RNA", at positions 28 to 490 of the family's 1533-position model. The record is from RNAcentral.